UACAGAGGGGGCAAGCGUUAUUCGGAAUUAUUGGGCGUAAAGGGCGCGUAGGCGGCUUUGCAAGUGACGGGUGAAAUCCCUCGGCUUAACCGGGGAACUGCCUGUCAAACUGCAUGGCUUGAGACCGGGAGAGGUGAGUGGAAUUCCCAGUGUAGCGGUGAAAUGCGUAGAUAUUGGGAGGAACACCAGUGGCGAAGGCAGCCCCCUGGGCUAGCACUGACGCUCAGGCACGAAAGCGUGGGGAGCAAACAGG
Molecule: ribosomal RNA, 253 nt
Filed under: uncultured bacterium
Lineage: Bacteria
Description: partial 16S ribosomal RNA
Rfam family: Bacterial small subunit ribosomal RNA
Source: RNAcentral